RNAcentral lists this ribosomal RNA (599 nucleotides) under uncultured Caulobacteraceae bacterium. RNAcentral's name for it is "bacterial SSU rRNA". It matches the Rfam family "Bacterial small subunit ribosomal RNA", at positions 164 to 798 of the family's 1533-position model. Lineage: Bacteria; Pseudomonadati; Pseudomonadota; Alphaproteobacteria; Caulobacterales; Caulobacteraceae. The record is from RNAcentral.
UAAUACCGUAUAUGUCUUUGGAUGAAAGAUUUAUCGCCUUUAGAGCGGCCCGCGUCUGAUUAGCUUGUUGGUGGGGUAAUGGCCCACCAAGGCGACGAUCAGUAGCUGGUCUGAGAGGAUGACCAGCCACAUUGGGACUGAGACACGGCCCAAACUCCUACGGGAGGCAGCAGUGGGGAAUCUUGCGCAAUGGGCGAAAGCCUGACGCAGCCAUGCCGCGUGGAUGAUGAAGGUCUUAGGAUUGUAAAAUCCUUUCACCGGUGAAGAUAAUGACUGUAGCCGGAGAAGAAGCCCCGGCUAACUUCGUGCCAGCAGCCGCGGUAAUACGAAGGGGGCUAGCGUUGCUCGGAAUUACUGGGCGUAAAGGGAGCGUAGGCGGACAUUUAAGUCAGGGGUGAAAUCCCGAGGCUCAACCUCGGAACUGCCUUUGAUACUGGGUGUCUUGAGUGUGAGAGAGGUGAGUGGAACUCCGAGUGUAGAGGUGAAAUUCGUAGAUAUUCGGAAGAACACCAGUGGCGAAGGCGACUCACUGGCUCAUUACUGACGCUGAGGCUCGAAAGCGUGGGGAGCAAACAGGAUUAGAUACCCUGGUAGUCCAC